UGCAAGUCGAGCGAAUGGAUUGAGAGCUUGCUCUCAAGAAGUUAGCGGCGGACGGGUGAGUAACACGUGGGUAACCUGCCCAUAAGACUGGGAUAACUCCGGGAAACCGGGGCUAAUACCGGAUAACAUUUUGAACUGCAUGGUUCGAAAUUGAAAGGCGGCUUCGGCUGUCACUUAUGGAUGGACCCGCGUCGCAUUAGCUAGUUGGUGAGGUAACGGCUCACCAAGGCAACGAUGCGUAGCCGACCUGAGAGGGUGAUCGGCCACACUGGGACUGAGACACGGCCCAGACUCCUACGGGAGGCAGCAGUAGGGAAUCUUCCGCAAUGGACGAAAGUCUGACGGAGCAACGCCGCGUGAGUGAUGAAGGCUUUCGGGUCGUAAAACUCUGUUGUUAGGGAAGAACAAGUGCUAGUUGAAUAAGCUGGCACCUUGACGGUACCUAACCAGAAAGCCACGGCUAACUACGUGCCAGCAGCCGCGGUAAUACGUAGGUGGCAAGCGUUAUCCGGAAUUAUUGGGCGUAAAGCGCGCGCAGGUGGUUUCUUAAGUCUGAUGUGAAAGCCCACGGCUCAACCGUGGAGGGUCAUUGGAAACUGGGAGACUUGAGUGCAGAAGAGGAAAGUGGAAU
Molecule: ribosomal RNA, 631 nt
Filed under: Bacillus thuringiensis
Lineage: Bacteria; Bacillati; Bacillota; Bacilli; Caryophanales; Bacillaceae
Description: bacterial SSU rRNA
Rfam family: Bacterial small subunit ribosomal RNA
Source: RNAcentral